CCUACGGGUGGCAGCAGUGAGGAAUAUUGGUCAAUGUGCGGGAGCCUGAACCAGCCAAGUCGCGUGAGGGAAGACGGUCCUAUGGAUUGUCAACCUCUUUAGGCGGGGAGCAAUGCCGGGCACGCGUGCCCGGAUGGAGAGUACCCGCAGACUAAGCCUCGGCUAACUCCGUGCCAGCAGCCGCGGUAAUACGGAGGAUGCGAGCGUUAUCCGGAUUUAUUGGGUGUAAAGGGAGCGGAGGCCGGCUUUUAAGUCAGCUGUGAAAGUCCGCGGCGCAACCGUGGAAUUGCAGUUGAAACUGGAGGCCUGGAGUGCACACAGGGAUGCCGGAAUUCAUGGUGUAGCGGUGAAAUGCUUAGAUAUCAUGAAGAACUCCGAUCGCGAAGGCAAGUGUCCGGGGUGCAACUGACGCUGAGGCUCGAAAGUGCGGGUAUCAAACAGGAUUAGAUACCCCUGUAGUC
This 461-nucleotide ribosomal RNA is filed under the name uncultured bacterium. RNAcentral's name for it is "partial 16S ribosomal RNA". It matches the Rfam family "Bacterial small subunit ribosomal RNA", at positions 338 to 795 of the family's 1533-position model. The record is from RNAcentral.